AGUGAACCAGUACCGUGAGGGAAAGGUGAAAAGAACCCUGAAUAAGGGAGUGAAAAAGAUCCUGAAACCAUACGCUUACAAGCGGUCGGAGCCCGUAAGGGGUGACGGCGUGCCUUUUGCAUAAUGAGCCUACGAGUUACUUUUACUAGCAAGGUUAAGCACUUCAGGUGCGGAUCCGUAGCGAAAGCGAGUCUGAAUAGGGCGACCAUAGUUAGUAGUAGUAGACGCGAAACCGUGUGAUCUACCCAUGGGCAGGUUGAAGCUUUGUUAACCCAAAGUGGAGGACCGAACCCGUUGACGUUGAAAAGUCUUGGGAUGACCUGUGGGUAGGGGUGAAAGGCCAAUCAAACUCGGAAAUAGCUCGUACUCCCCGAAAUGCAUUUAGGUGCAGCGUUGAUUUAUAGUUUUAUAGAGGUAGAGCUACUGAUUGGAUGCGGGGGCUUCACCGCCUACCAAUUCCUGACAAACUCCGAAUGCUAUAAAAUGUUGUUGAGCAGUGAGGGCAUGGGUGCUAAGGUCCAUGUCCGAGAGGGAAAGAACCCAGAUCAUCAGCUAAGGUCCCCAAGUGUAUGCUAAGUUGACAAAACGCGGUAAAACUGCAUUGACAGCCAGGAUGUUGGCUUGGAAGCAGCCAUUCAUUUAAAGAGUGCGUAACAGCUCACUGGUCGAGCGGUUUUGCAUGGAUAAUAAUCGGGCAUAAGUAUACCACCGAAGCUAUGACUUUGUCUUAUGACAAGGGGUAGGGGAGCAUUCUAUGGGCAUUGAAGGUGCUGGCGUGAGCCGUGCUGGAGCGCAUAGAAACGAAAAUGUAGGCAUAAGUAACGAUAAUGCGGGCGAGAAACCCGCACGCCGAAAGACCAAGGUUUCCCCAGCUAUGCUAAUCAGCUGGGGGUCAGUCGGGACCUAACGCGAACCCGAACGGGGUAGUGGAUGGACAAUCAGUUAAUAUUCUGAUACCUGCUCACAUUAAAAGUGACGGGGAUGAGGCGUUGGUGCGAAGAGACGGAAUUCUUCGUUGAAGGUAGCGGAAGCUACUGAUAGUACACUGAGGCUUCGGCCAAGGUGAUAAUCCAGCUUAUCAUCCUCCAAGAAAAACAAGUGAAGCAGCCCGUACCGUAAACCGACACAGGUGGUUGGGAUGAGUAUUCUAAGGCGCUCGAGAGAUUCAUGGCUAAGGAACUAGGCAAAAUAGACCCGUAACUUCGGGAGAAGGGUCGCCCCCUUAUGGGGGGCCGCAGUGAAGAGGUCCAGGCGACUGUUUAUCAAAAACACAGGGCUCUGCUAAAUCGAAAGAUGACGUAUAGGGCCUGACACCUGCCCGGUGCUGGAAGGUUAAGAGGAGAUGUUAUUUUUCGGAAGAAGCAUUGAAUUGAAGCCCCAGUAAACGGCGGCCGUAACUAUAACGGUCCUAAGGUAGCGAAAUUCCUUGUCGGGUAAGUUCCGACCUGCACGAAUGGUGCAACGAUCUGGACACUGUCUCGGCCAUGAGCUCGGUGAAAUUGUAGUAACGGUGAAGAUGCCGUUUACCCGCAGUGGGACGAAAAGACCCCGUGCACCUUUACUAUAGCUUCGUAUUGACCCUGGAUAAGUAAUGUGUAGGAUAGCUAGGAGACUUUGAAGCGGCGUCGCCAGGCGUUGUGGAGUCAUUGUUGAAAUACUAGCCUUUGCUUAUUUGGGGCCUAACUCUCUUAAGAGAGAACAGUGCGUGGUGGGUAGUUUGACUGGGGUGGUCGCCUCCAAAAGAGUAACGGAG
RNAcentral lists this ribosomal RNA (1753 nucleotides) under marine metagenome. RNAcentral describes it as "bacterial LSU rRNA". It matches the Rfam family "Bacterial large subunit ribosomal RNA", at positions 489 to 2305 of the family's 2925-position model. The record is from RNAcentral.